CGCUGUCGCGCCUCCUGGACCCUCGCCGCGCGCCUCCAUCUGCCCCAUCGCCGUCGCCCCGUGGACCUCAACCAGCCGCCGGCGAAAUGGCCCCAAAGCGUGGUGGCAAGGCGCCUGUCCCGGCGAAGAAGAAGACGGUUCAGGUGACGAACCCUCUGUUCGAGAAGAGGCCGAAUCAAUUCGGCAUCGUCGGCGCGCUCCCGCCCAAGAAGGACCUCCACCGCUUCGUCAAGUGGCCCAAGGUUGUGCGCAUCCAGCGCUAGUGCCGCAUCCUCAAGCAGCGCCUCAAGGUUCCCCCGGCGCUCCACCAGUUCACCCGAACCCUGGACAAGAACCUUGGUAUAUUUCCUGGCCUGCACCUGUUUAUGU
Non-coding RNA from Lolium perenne, 369 nucleotides. NCBI's taxonomy places the organism in Eukaryota, Viridiplantae, Streptophyta, Magnoliopsida, Poales, Poaceae. The record is from RefSeq and is a predicted model, not a curated record.